UGAAGCAUGCUAGGCCAGCAUUCAGUGCUCACAACUUAGCAUGUCACUAAAACAAACCACUGAUUUGAGUUUAAACAAACGAUCUGUGUUCAGGUCCAGCGCACUGCACUUUCAAAAUAACUUUACUGGCAUUAGCAUUCGCAGAGUAAAAGCUGUAAUGUUCGGCCUUCUGUUAUUCAAGAAGUCACGCAUGAACAUUUGUGCUGCUAGCUUCUAUGAGCAGCAAGCUAUAUUUUUAUUUUAUAGACAUCCUCAACGUGGUAUGUCCAACAACUUUCUGUCUGCUUGUUCGUCUAUCUACAACAUAAGCAUCACACAGAAGGAAAGGCUAUACUGCCACCUUGUGGUUACUCAAUAGAAUGCCUAUCAUUACAUCCCCUUUCCAAAGUUAUAAAACAAAGGUUAACUAAACAGCUCUUUUUUUUUUUAACUUAACUUUUAACUUUGCUUGUAAUAAAGCCUUACGAACAUGCAAAAAGUCAAAAUGUUGCACGAUACAAGUACCUCAUAAAGAAAUAACAAUAACAAGGCACUCUACUCUAAACAACAAUGUAAAGCAUUAUACUUUUUCAAUAAGUCUCUCAGGUGGUUUUCUAGGUCUAGUAGACCUUCUGAUUGGUUCAGUCAUUUGAGAGGCUGUGGUAUUAGGCUCAGCUUGGUGUGCAUUCGGUGUAUCAUUUUGUUUUUCAGAUUCAGUUUCACCGUGUUUGUCAGUGUCCUCAUGAGUCUUUAACAGACUCCUCCUGUUUCUCCUCACUUUUUGUCCAUCCUCUGUUUCCACAACGUAAGAUCUAGGUCCGACUUCACUGAGCACGGUCGCUUUUCUGUCCCAGCAAUUAGGUCCCUCGAUUCUCACAGUGUCCUUUUCACAAAGAGGUUCCAGACUUUUUGUAGCUCUGUCAUAGGCCAUUUUUUGUCUGAUUUUGAGUCUCUUUUUGUUGUUAAUCCAGUUGUUAUUGUCUCGUCCUGGUUGCAAUUGUGGUAGCGUGGUGCAGCUCUGUAGCUAAGUAAAGCAAGGUGAGGAUCAGUCUUACCGUCCUUGGCUUUCUUCAGUAGUCUCUUUACAAUUUGUACUCCCUUUUCAGCCUGACCAUUGGCUUGUGGGUACAAUGGGCUUGAGGUAACAUGCUUGAAUCCGUAGUACUUCGCAAACUCUUUAAACUCUCCACAGUCAUACUGCGGACCGUUGUCACUCACAACACAUUGUGGGAUUCCGUGUCUGGCAAAGAACCCUUUCAUGUGCACUAUAACAGACUGUGCGGUGGUGCUGGAGAGUUGCGCAAUCUCAGGGUAGUUCGAGUAAUAGUCUAUAACAAGAAGAUAAUCCUUGCCAUACAGAUGAAAUAAAUCUGUGCCCACCUUUUGCCAAGGGGCAGUGGGAAGGUCAGCCACCAGCAUUGGCUCCUUGACUUGUUUGUAGUGGUGUCUGAGGCAGAUGUCACAUUUCUCAAUCAUUUCCUCUAUGUCUUUGUUGAUACCUGGCCAGUAGAUGGCUUCACGUGCUCUUCUCUUACAUUUUUCCACUCCCAGGUGUCCUUCAUGAAGACGUUGAAGCAUGUCCUUGCGCAUGGUCUGUGGGAUAACAAUCCUGUUCUUUCUCAGCAGGAGUCCUUUUGACAUACACAGCUCUGCCCGCACCGGGAAAAACUGUGGGCAAACUCCUUUCGACCAGCCGUUGUUUACACAGUGAGACACUUUGUGUAACAUGGAGUCUUUUGCUGUCUCUUUAACAAUCUGCUGCAGUAUGGUGUCUGAUGCAGGCAGUGAGGCAGUGACCAUGUUGAUGUGUGUUUCAAUAUCUUCUGCUGCGGUGUUCUCAGCUGUGCCACUGUUGAGUUCUGGUGCUCUAGAAAGUGUGUCAGCAAGCACUAUGUAUUUACCUGGCGUGUAUAUUAGGUCAAAGUCAUAGCGCUGCAAUGUCAUCAUCAUACGUUGGAUUCUGGGCGACAUGUCAUUGAGAUUCUUUUUACGGAUUGAUAUGAGUGGUUUAUGAUCAGUUUCUGCUGUGAAUGUGGGCAGUCCAUAAACAUAAGUGUGAAAUUUCCCACACCCAAACACUAGGCCCAGCGUCUCCUUCUCAAUCUGAGCAUAGCGUUUUUCAGUCUCAGUCAUCGAUCUUGAUGCAUAUGCUACAGGUUGCCAUUUUUCUUCAUUCAUUUGUAGCAAUACGGCUCCUAGUCCGUCUUUUGAUGCAUCAGUGGAGACUUUGGUUGGUUUUGUUGGAUCAAAGUAGGUUAAAACUGGUUCAGCAGUCACAGUUCUCUUCAGUUCUUUCCAUUCUUUUUCAUGUUUUGUGGUCCACUCAAAUGCAACGUUGUGAUGCAGCAGUUCUCUGAGGCAUUUCGUUUUUGAGGAGAGGUUGGGAAUGAACUUACCCAGAAAGUUUACCAUCCCCAUUGCUCGCAAAACUCCUUUUUUAUCAGUUGGAGCUGGCAUAUUCAGUAUGGCUUGCACUUUUGUUUUGUCUGGAAGCACGCCGUUUGCUGUGAGCUUGUCUCCUAAGAAUGUCAUUUCUGUCACUCCAACAAGACAUUUCUCUCUUUUUAGUUUUAGUCCAUACUUUUUCACUCUCUGUAACAGCUUCUCAAGUCUCUCAUCAUGUUGUUGUUUUGUGUUUCCCCAGACAACUAUGUCAUCAAUGUACACUCGUGUUCCUUCCAGACCCUCUAUGAUUGACUCCAUAGCUCUGUGAAAGAUCUCUGGCGCUGACUUGAUGCCAAAUGGAAGCCUCAGAAAACAGUAACGCCCAAAUGGUGUGUUAAAGGUGGUGUACCUGCUGCUUUCUGGGUCCAGUUUCAGCUGCCAAAAUCCAUGCGAGGCGUCUAAUUUGCUGAAGUACUUUGCACCGGCCAUGUCACUCAGAAUUUCUUCUCUCUUUGGGAUUUGAUAAUGUUCUCUUUUAAUAUUUUCAUUCAAAUCUUUAGGAUCUAGGCAGACACGUAACUCAGGGGAGUUUCUUUUUUUAACACAUGUGAUGGAAUUUACCCAGUCUGUGGGCUCUUCCACUCGCUCGAUGACUCCCAUCUGUGUCAUUCUGUUCAGUUCCUUUUUAAGUCCUUCUUUAAGAGGUGCUGGCACUCUCCUUGGGGCAUGUACUACAGGUUUAGCAUCUUCCUUGAGCUGUAUUUUGUAAGUGUAAGGUAGUGUACCAUGUCCUUUAAAGACAGUCGCGUAUUUGUUCACAAUACUUGUACUACCUUCGCUUUGUGACAGCAUUUUGAUUUGAUUGUCUAUUUUUAUGUUAUCACUGUUGAUCUGGUAGAUCCUCUUGACUAGUCCAAGAUCUUCAGAUGCUUUGUCUCCAAGGAUCGACUCGUGUCCACUUGGCACUAUUGUAAACAUCAAGUGGUGUUGUCUGCCUUUUGCAGUCAAUUUGAGCCUACAACUACCCAUAGUUUUUAUUGGCUGAUUGUUGUAUGCUUUUAAUGACAUUGUCUUGUCUGCAACUCUUUUUGGUUUCUCUUCAAGAGCUUUCAGAUCAUUUUCAUUGAUCAAGUUGGCUUUGGCUCCGGUGUCAAUUUUGAAGGUUACUAGUGUCCCAUUGACUAACAGCGGUGCAGUCCAUUUAUCAUCUUUUACUGCACGUACAGCAUGCUCUGUGUCACUUGCAUUUUGGGGCUGUAUGUAGCUUUUCUCACAUGACACCAUUUUGAUGAAAAAUGUCUCGCUCAAAUCAUCACUGUCAUCUGGGUCAUCCUGCACUAUGUGUAUUUUUUUUCUGGUAUGACACAUUUUCGCAUAGUGAUUUUGCUUUUUACACUUUGCACAUGUUUUUCCAAAUGCAGGGCAUUGUCUCGGUCUGUGCGUUUCACCACACUUCUUACAGUCAAACUGUGUUUGAUCAUCGUCUCUCUUUUUGUCUUUUUGUUUGAACUUGAAGUGUGAUUUUCCUUUCAUUUUCACUACAUUCACGGACUCGCUUUCUUGGUCAUAUGGCACCGCUUGAAAAGUAAGAGCAUGUUGCUUUGCCAGCUCAUUAGCUUGACAUAUUUUUAUUGCACUUGCCAGUGUGAGAUCCGCUUCCCUCAACAGCUUUUCUCUUAGCUUCUUUUCAUUUGUCCCAUAAACAAUCUGAUCCCUUAUCAUUGAGUUUUUUAGAUCACCAAAGUUGCAGGACUGAGCUUUUAUUUUGAGAUCGGUGAGAUAAUUAUCAAACGACUCACCAGGCUGUUGGAGACGAGAACGAAAUACAUAUCUCUCGUAUGUUUCAUUUUUCUUCGAAAGACAGUGUUCAUCAAACUUCUUUAGGACCUC
Long non-coding RNA from Cyprinus carpio carpio, 4254 nucleotides. The record is from Ensembl. NCBI's taxonomy places the organism in Eukaryota, Metazoa, Chordata, Actinopteri, Cypriniformes, Cyprinidae.